CCGAGUUUACAACUCCCAAACCCCUGUGAACAUACCUACUUGUUGCCUCGGCGGAUCAGCCCGCGCCCGUAAAACGGGACGGCCCGCCAGAGGACCCCUAAACUCUGAAUUUCUAUAUGUAACUUCUGAGUUAAAACCAUAAUAAAUCA
RNAcentral lists this unclassified non-coding RNA (149 nucleotides) under soil metagenome. RNAcentral's name for it is "partial internal transcribed spacer 1". The record is from RNAcentral.